UUUUGGUAAUGGUAAGAAUAUAUUACUGAGCUUAGGACAAAUGUACAAACAGCGCCAAAAACUUUCACUCUAGCUGCAUAAAAAACAGGAAGAGUGGAAGGGGGCUGCAAUCAAGCCAGACGGCAGUACAAGAAAAGAAAACACAAAGCAAUAGGCACAACAACUCCAACCGAACCUCCACGCACACUAGGGGAAGACCGCUGAAAAGUGCCACACCCGACAGCUCAAAACACCGGAGGAUUAACGAAAACCGACGGGUCAAAACCCCAACCUCUCUGAAGGCGACGAUUCCUUGGAGUGUCAAGGACAUUCUUAUAUGUAAUGGCCUUAUCUUUGACCACCUUAAACAGGUGGUUCUUGAGGGCAGAAAUAGCUAAGGUAUCUCCUCGAAAUAUCAUGUCAUUCAUUUUCUUCCAGAUUAGAUGACACAAAGCUCCAAAGGAAAACUGAGCGAUGCUAUGAAAGAAAUCCUUACCCGCUAGAAACUUCAUAGCCCAGUAAAGGUUGUCCACCCAAGUGCCAUUUCUCCAUGG
This 533-nucleotide long non-coding RNA is filed under the name Eucalyptus grandis. RNAcentral's name for it is "long non-coding RNA (EGRA_LNC003327)". Lineage: Eukaryota; Viridiplantae; Streptophyta; Magnoliopsida; Myrtales; Myrtaceae. The record is from RNAcentral.